CGUGUAGGCGGUAUAAUAAGUCAGAUGUGAAAGUUCGGGGCUUAACCCCGGAAUUGCAUUUGAAACUGUAAUACUUGAGUACUGGAGAGGUAAGUGGAAUUCCUAGUGUAGCGGUGAAAUGCGUAGAUAUUAGGAGGAACACCAGUGGCGAAGGCGACUUACUGGACAGAUACUGACGCUGAGGCGCGAAAGCGUGGGGAGCAAACAGGAUUAGAUACCCUGGUAGUCCACGCCGUAAACGAUGAGUGCUAGGUGUUGGGGAGACCCAGUGCCGCAGUUAACACAAUAAGCACUCCGCCUGGGGAGUACGGUCGCAAGACUGAA
Molecule: ribosomal RNA, 324 nt
Filed under: uncultured Bacillota bacterium
Lineage: Bacteria; Bacillati; Bacillota
Description: bacterial SSU rRNA
Rfam family: Bacterial small subunit ribosomal RNA
Source: RNAcentral